AGCACAGCAGCGCCGCCUGGAGUGUGGUGGCGACGAGGUGGACAUACGCAGUUCGUACCCGAGAGAGAGAGAGAGGAAGAGCGAGCGAGCGAGCGAGCCAGCCAGUGACCUUGAAAUACCUGCCUUCAACACCUGGGCACAUUACGGUUGUGUGAAGGGAGCGUGGGGCAUCCAAUCACCUGUGGCCUCCGCUGCUCUACCCUACCCUGCCCUCAGUGCCCCUGUCCUGCCCUGCCCUGUUGUGAUGCCGCCCGACCCCCUCCACAUCCCAGUGGUAGGCCUGGCGUGUAGGGGAGGGAGAUGUGGAAGCUCACGUGGUUCAGGCAAGUGUUUAUGUAACAUUCCCUGCACCAAGCAUGGAGGCACAGCCAGCAUCAACACUGUGCUGCACCAACAAGCCAGAGCAGCGCCUCACUCCCCUUGCUCCUCUUCGGUGGAGUUCCCUUCAGUGGGCGACUCGCUCUCAGAAUUAGACUGCAGCUCCAGCCCCUCUGUCUCCAGGCCCUCACCCUGCACUGCUGCUGUUGGAAUAGAAGUUGGUCACACCCAAACAUACACACAUGGUAGCAGACUGAUGAACUGACAACCUCGGAAGCCAUCUUUAUUCUAUUGAAUUCCUUACACAACCAAGUUUAAUAACCAGUUGCUAAUAAAUGUUGAACUAACUUACUUCUCUCCGCCAGAGUCUUCUCAAUGAGGCGUGACAUGAUGUCCCUGCAAGUUGCCUCAACACCCGCCGGCAGCCAGCCAUACUUCUCUGAGCACACCUUGUUGGCGCCCGUCAGAAUGGCUUCCUCCAGCAGCUUCUGGAUCUCAGGCACCUGAAUGUCACAGUACUGCGAGAGAAGUAACAGUUUGUUUGUUACAUGUCACUUCAUUUAAAGUUUGCAAGACAAAGCUUUCCUGAUUUAUUUUAAGAGUUGGUCAAGCUAGAUAGAUACCACACCACACUAGCUUACAGUAUUUUUGUGGACAGCAUACUACAUAAAAUGUCCAUAUUCUCUGUCUGGCACAGGUUUUGAAUCAAGGUUCUCUUAAUAGCAAUAACUUGUACACCAGUGAGCUGCUUAGAGAAAGCUAUGUGUAAGUUAUGACAGGACUUGUUAAUACUGUUUUCUCAAACUUGGUAACAUUGAAUGAGUAAUUACUUAUCAUCAGAAACAACCUGUACUUUUAAAAGCAAUCUUCUAAAAUGAUAAGCAUUAUUUUCUUGUCAUCUUGUGGGUAGGUAGCUUUAAGAAAUGUGGUCAUGGAGGAACUAGAAAGGUUGCCAAUGAUAUAUAUGUAUGGUGAAGAGAGCAUAGAGUAGAGUGGAAAUCCAACAGGAAAUUUUAAAGUGAACAUGUCAACGCUUUGGAAGAGAGGAAACUGCAGUAAGUGGUGUAGGAGUUGUACAGUAGAGUGGAUGGAUGUUUUGACAGGAAAUUUUUAAGUGAACUUGAAAACGUUAUGGGAGAGGAAACAGCAACAAAGUGGUGCAGAGGUUUGUGUUCUUAGUCUACAACUUCAAGCACCAGUGUUUAGAUAUCAUGCCAGACAAAGACAAUUUUGCCAUACCACCUUUCGAAAAUAUUGUAUGCCACCUACUGUGACCCAUAUGAAAUAAUUAAAAGUCCAAGAGAACAUCACAUAGACCAGAGAAUGGAUGCAAAAUAUGGGAAGAAUAUUUUAAAGGAAUGUGCAUAAUAGAAGAGAGUAAGGAGCCUAAGUUUGUCAUUUCUAACUAAGGACUAUAUGUUAUACCAGAGUUGCAUUAUUCAUCGCAAAGUAGGGGGAUGUAAACAAAGGCUCCUACAGAAAUUUAGAUCAGUGUGCAGUACAAGGUUUGAAAGUGAGUGACAAAUUAUUAACAGCCUAUGAAGCAUUUUCAACAAUAUUAAAUUAAUUCUUCUUCCACAGGGGAUGAUAGCAAGAACGAACAGCAGAGGGGAAAAAUUCUAGGUUAGAAAGGUAAUUGGCAACCAGAACCUCUAAAGUGUAUGGAAGAGGCAAUACCAUGAAAAGAUAGAUAAUAAACUGAGAGAUCAAAGAGAAGACAGGCAAUGAGAUGGAGAGAUGGAGCAAGGAUGGGAGACACAGAGGAAGAAGCAAAGGAAAAAAUAACUUUACAAAACUCUUAUAUGAGUCACAAAGGAAGAUGCAAUGGAGAAAAUAAGACUCAUACAUGACAACAUCCCAUGGCUGUAAGGGAAUGAAAAAAGGCCACCUAUCACCGAGAGAAAAGGUAACAGAAGGAGUCACAGAAAAAGAUGAAUGACACAACUGAAGAAGACUCAUAUGGUACCAGUCCCUCUUAAUCAAGGAAAGCAAGCAAACAAGCAAGAACCAUCAUUAAAGAAGUAAUACAACACAGAUGGAUAAGUAACAAGCAAGAAAAAGAUAUGGCACCAGUCCCUAUGAAUCAAGGAAAGUAAGCAAGAACCAUCAUCAAGGAAGUAAUACAACAGAGAUGGAUAGCAAACAAGAAAGUGACGAGACAACAGCCACUCUCGCAUUGCCUUCUAGCAAACACCAAGACAACCACAGCUCAGCACCUGGUAGAACAUCUGCCUGUAGGGAGGGAUCAUGCCAGGCCUAAAGAUGUACAGGUCCUCAUUGUUCUUCUCAGCACUGCUGGAGCACUCCUCACUGCCGUCCUCACCUGACUCCCCAAGAUGCAGGGACUGGAUCACCGAGGUCUGGGGUGGUGAGGGAGAGAGAAUUUGUUUGAUGAGAUAUUGUGGUAUAUAUAUGGUUUUAUACUGUAGAUCAGAGAGAGAUGUCUGGCUGCCUCUUUUUGUUUUACAAUGUGAGCUUUUCAUGCAAAUUUUAUGGGCUCAAGGAAGUACUUUUUGGGUACCUCCUAGGGAACCAUUACCCCAAGCAAGGAAGCCCUUUCUUUCUACACUCAGACCGUGCAAGAGUUCAAACCAGUGCACUUGGGGACUUCUCGGACACCAAGGUGUGCAUGGUUCCCCUGUGCCAUGGUGGCCUCUUGUGUCCAUCUCAGCUCCCUCUCUGAACCCAAAUAUAAUCACACACACACAGAGAUCAAUGAAGUGAAGCAUUUUAAAAUCCUAGUCUUGAAAUGCCAACAAAUUAACAAUAUUGUUGGGUUGAUAAACUUUGAUGUCUGUAUCCUCACUGGCUAAUCUGAGCAGCGAUUCACUCACUUUCCUCCUUGAUGUGUUGGCACUCUUGUAUGGUAACACAUAGUUUGAGUAACUCCUCUUGGCCUCCACUUUAGUCUUCACACCUCCUGCAACACACAAGAAUAACAACAUUGAUGGAACUUUAGUAUUCACAUAUCAAAGUAUUUCACUAACACUAAGUAAGAUCUUACAUACAAACUUAGUCUAGCCUUUACAGACAGAGGAAAACAUCACCUUAAACUUACACAAAUUCUCAAAAGACACGUAUGGUUAACUUCUGAAGAGCAAGAAAUUAAAUGAAAUGUACCAUACUUCUGAAGAGCAAGAAAUUAAAUUAAAUGUAACUCACAAAAACCAUGAAUAACAAUGCAUUUCCUGGAAGAGACCCUAUACUUAUACAAUCCAGCUCUACAAGUGACUUCACAAAAGUAAAUUUUGAGUCAAGGAACAAAGAUGCCUUGUUUUUAGCAAAGAGGAAAAGUCAGCAGUUAGUGUGGAGCAACAGACCAGCCUGGCGGAUGCGGAAAUCAAAAGUCUGGUAGAUCCAGGCCUUGGGAUCCUUGCGUGGAUCAUAGCCCAGCUGCACCCACAAGUUCCUCCACGGCCCAGUGUGGAAGUAGUAGGACAUGGUGGGCAGCAGGUACUGUGUGGGAAAUGUGAGGAUAAGCUUAUCUUGUUGUGAACAAUACAUCUGAUGUAUAUUGUUUUUGUAUUUAGAUGCUUUGCUCUCACCACAACUAUUUAGAUGCUUUGCUCUCACCACAACUGUUCUCCAAAGCUAUAGAAAUAAUUGUUUUGAAUUCUUGAGAGCAUUUCUCCAGUUAAUAAAUAAUAUAGUCAUCCUAUUUAUGUCACUACUUUCAAAAAGCCGUGUUUUCAUGUUUCUGAUGACAUGAACAAAUUAUCUGCAUUAUAUUAUCAAGGUUAACACUUGAGAACCUGGCAGGCUCUCAUCUCUUCACCUUUAGAAAAUGGUCAUGGCAACAUUAAACAAGUUUUGAAAGGUGCUGGUGUUAAUGUUGCCAUGACCAUUUUCAAGAGCUAAAGAGAUGAGAACCUGCCAGGUUCUCAAGUCUUUCUCCUGAUAAUCUAAUGCAUAUAAUUUGUUAAUGUCACAGCUUUUUGAAAGUAGUGAAACGUUUCAGAAUUUGGUCCUCUGAGGAGAUUUGUGAUGAUGACAAUGUAGUGAAACAUCACAGUUCACUCUUGGAAAACAGGAAUACCAUUAUUUUGAGAGGACACUGCUACCUACAUAAAUCUGGACAUGACCAUAUCCAAUAAAUAAGGCAGCUUU
Molecule: long non-coding RNA, 4425 nt
Organism: Portunus trituberculatus (swimming crab)
Lineage: Eukaryota; Metazoa; Arthropoda; Malacostraca; Decapoda; Portunidae
Exons: 3
Source: RefSeq, a predicted model, not a curated record